This 1343-nucleotide ribosomal RNA is filed under the name uncultured bacterium. Its description in RNAcentral is "16S ribosomal RNA". It matches the Rfam family "Bacterial small subunit ribosomal RNA", at positions 28 to 1378 of the family's 1533-position model. The record is from RNAcentral.
GACGAACGCUGGCGGCGUGCUUAACACAUGCAAGUCGAACGGAAAGGCCCUGCUUUUGUGGGGUGCUCGAGUGGCGAACGGGUGAGUAACACGUGAGUAACCUGCCCUUGACUUUGGGAUAACUUCAGGAAACUGGGGCUAAUACCGGAUAGGAGCUCCUGCUGCAUGGUGGGGGUUGGAAAGUUUCGGCGGUUGGGGAUGGACUCGCGGCUUAUCAGCUUGUUGGUGGGGUAGUGGCUUACCAAGGCUUUGACGGGUAGCCGGCCUGAGAGGGUGACCGGCCACAUUGGGACUGAGAUACGGCCCAGACUCCUACGGGAGGCAGCAGUGGGGAAUAUUGCACAAUGGGCGGAAGCCUGAUGCAGCAACGCCGCGUGCGGGAUGACGGCCUUCGGGUUGUAAACCGCUUUCGCCUGUGACGAAGCGUGAGUGACGGUAAUGGGUAAAGAAGCACCGGCUAACUACGUGCCAGCAGCCGCGGUGAUACGUAGGGUGCGAGCGUUGUCCGGAUUUAUUGGGCGUAAAGGGCUCGUAGGUGGUUGAUCGCGUCGGAAGUGUAAUCUUGGGGCUUAACCCUGAGCGUGCUUUCGAUACGGGUUGACUUGAGGAAGGUAGGGGAGAAUGGAAUUCCUGGUGGAGCGGUGGAAUGCGCAGAUAUCAGGAGGAACACCAGUGGCGAAGGCGGUUCUCUGGGCCUUUCCUGACGCUGAGGAGCGAAAGCGUGGGGAGCGAACAGGCUUAGAUACCCUGGUAGUCCACGCUGUAAACGGUGGGUACUAGGUGUGGGGUCCAUUCCACGGGUUCCGUGCCGUAGCUAACGCUUUAAGUACCCCGCCUGGGGAGUACGGCCGCAAGGCUAAAACUCAAAGGAAUUGACGGGGCCCCGCACAAGCGGCGGAGCAUGCGGAUUAAUUCGAUGCAACGCGUAGAACCUUACCUGGGUUUGACAUGGAUCGGGAGUGCUCAGAGAUGGGUGUGCCUCUUUUGGGGUCGGUUCACAGGUGGUGCAUGGCUGUCGUCAGCUCGUGUCGUGAGAUGUUGGGUUAAGUCCCGCAACGAGCGCAACCCUUGUUCACUGUUGCCAGCACGUUAUGGUGGGGACUCAGUGGAGACCGCCGGGGUCAACUCGGAGGAAGGUGGGGAUGACGUCAAGUCAUCAUGCCCCUUAUGUCCAGGGCUUCACGCAUGCUACAAUGGCUGGUACAGAGAGUGGCGAGCCUGUGAGGGUGAGCGAAUCUCGGAAAGCCGGUCUCAGUUCGGAUUGGGGUCUGCAACUCGACCUCAUGAAGUCGGAGUCGCUAGUAAGCGCAGAUCAGCAACGCUGCGGUGAAUACGUUCCCGGG